RNAcentral lists this ribosomal RNA (1233 nucleotides) under Oceanobacillus polygoni. RNAcentral describes it as "bacterial SSU rRNA". It matches the Rfam family "Bacterial small subunit ribosomal RNA", at positions 48 to 1314 of the family's 1533-position model. The record is from RNAcentral. Lineage: Bacteria; Bacillati; Bacillota; Bacilli; Caryophanales; Bacillaceae.
CGCACAUAAACAAGAACCGCUUCGGGGUAAUGUUUAUGGAAUGAGCGGCGGACGGGUGAGUAACACGUGGGCAACCUGCCUGUAACAUCGGGAUAACUCGCGGAAACGUGAGCUAAUACCGGAUAACACUUUUCAUCUCAUGGUGAGAAGAUAAAAGACGGUUUCGGCUGUCACUUACAGAUGGGCCCGCGGCGCAUUAGCUAGUUGGUGAGGUAACGGCUCACCAAGGCGACGAUGCGUAGCCGACCUGAGAGGGUGAUCGGCCACACUGGGACUGAGACACGGCCCAGACUCCUACGGGAGGCAGCAGUAGGGAAUCUUCCGCAAUGGACGAAAGUCUGACGGAGCAACGCCGCGUGAGUGAUGAAGGUUUUCGGAUCGUAAAACUCUGUUGUUAGGGAAGAACAAGUUGGGUAGUAACUGACCCAACCUUGACGGUACCUAACCAGAAAGCCACGGCUAACUACGUGCCAGCAGCCGCGGUAAUACGUAGGUGGCAAGCGUUGUCCGGAAUUAUUGGGCGUAAAGCGCUCGCAGGCGGUCUUUUAAGUCUGAUGUGAAAGCCCACGGCUUAACCGUGGAGGGUCAUUGGAAACUGGAGGACUUGAGUACCGAAGAGGAGAGUGGAAUUCCACGUGUAGCGGUGAAAUGCGUAUAGAUGUGGAGGAACACCAGUGGCGAAUGCGACUCUCUGGUCUGUAACUGACGCUGAGGAGCGAAUGCGUGGGUAGCGAACACGAUUACAUACCCUGGUAGUCCACGCCGUAUACGAUGAGUGCUACGUGUUAGGCGGAUUCCGCCCCUUAAUGCUGAAGUAACGCAUUACGACUCCGCCUGGAGAGUCCGCCACAAGGCUGAAACUCAAAGAAUUGACGGGGACCGCACAACUGUGGAGCAUGUGGUUAAUUCAAACAACGCGACAACCUUACACGUCUUGACAUCUCUGAUACUUUAGAGAUGCAGUUUCCCUUCGGGACGAAUGACAGGUGUGCAUGUUGUCGCAGCUCUGUCAGAAAUGUGGGUUACUCCCGCACGAGCGCAGCCUUGAUCUUAUUGACAGCAUCAAAUUGGCACUCUAAGUGACUGCCGGUGACAAACCGAGGAAGUUGGGAUGACGUCAAUCACAUUCCCCUAUGACCUGGGCUACACCUUGUUCAUGGAUGGACCACGGGAACCAACCCCCAGGCCAGCCAAUCCCAAAAACCUUUCCAUUUCGAUUUUGGCUGCAACUCC